GACGAACGCUGGCGGCGUGCUUAACACAUGCAAGUCGAACGGUGAUGCUCCAGCUUGCUGGAGUGGAUCAGUGGCGAACGGGUGAGUAACACGUGAGCAACCUGCCCCAGACUCUGGAAUAAGCGCUGGAAACGGCGUCUAAUACUGGAUACGAAACUGGCCCGCAUGGGCAUGGUUUGGAAAGUUGUUCGGUUUGGGAUGGGCUCGCGGCCUAUCAGCUUGUUGGUGAGGUAAUGGCUCACCAAGGCGACGACGGGUAGCCGGCCUGAGAGGGCGACCGGCCACACUGGGACUGAGACACGGCGCAGACUCCUACGGGAGGCAGCAGUGGGGAAUAUUGCACAAUGGGCGAAAGCCUGAUGCAGCGACGCCGCGUGAGGGAUGACGGCCUUCGGGUUGUAAACCUCUUUCAGCAGGGAAGAAGCGAAAGUGACGGUACCUGCAGAAGAAGCACCGGCUAACUACGUG
Molecule: ribosomal RNA, 468 nt
Filed under: uncultured bacterium
Lineage: Bacteria
Description: partial 16S ribosomal RNA
Rfam family: Bacterial small subunit ribosomal RNA
Source: RNAcentral